This is a long non-coding RNA of Numida meleagris (helmeted guineafowl), 5006 nucleotides long. RefSeq lists it as uncharacterized. The transcript has 2 exons. Lineage: Eukaryota; Metazoa; Chordata; Aves; Galliformes; Numididae. The record is from RefSeq and is a predicted model, not a curated record.
UGAAGAAAACAUUUCCAGCACUCGUAGCAGUGUUUAUUAUUUUUAUUGAAAUGUGCUUUUCUGUGAGAGUUCUUCGUUUUACAUAGCUUUGAGGAGAUACUUUAAAAAGUAAAAGCAAAAACUAAAAAACACCUAAAAAACAAAAACAAAGAGUAAUUAAAAAUGGAAAAAUAACCAAGAAGCAUGCACCUCCCUGCAUUAACUAAAACAGUAACUGCUUGGGUAUUUAAGUAAGGAAAAUUAAAAUGGACAAGGUGAGAAAUCAUUCAAACCAGCUCUACACAUUAAUAUAUGUUAUCUGAACUGUCCUGUUUUCUCUUGUUCAACGGUUAUUCUUCAUCACACUUCCUUUAUCAGAAGGAGUUUGCAUUUCCUACUCACAGUUUAUCUUUUGUAGCAUGCAUAUCAAAAGGAGGAUAAAUACAUAUUGCCAACAAUUCAGGAAGCAUUAGCUAAUAAAAAAUAGUCCGGAUUUGUAGAUCAAAGUGGUCUUGAACGUCAUCAGGAUAUACAGCUGUAGGAAACUCAGGAAAGUUCAAGGUAGAGAAAUCAUUUUCCCCAGGCCAUUUUCUUCCUGAAAGUAAGGUGUAAAUCCUGUAGAAAGGAGUGUUUUCUUCUCUUUGACUAUUAUAUUUCCUCUUUGUGUCAUUUACUGCGUGUAAGAGGAAAGAAAUUCAAGAAGUGGCAGUGGGAAAGUAGCAGAGAUGAGGUCAGAGCUGAGUCACGCUCUACCUGUUCACCUUGGGGCUGUCACUGUUCUAUGUAGCUCCAAAAAACAAUGCCACAUAACUUAAAACAUGACACAUUUUAACUUUAUUAAUGUCUUAUCUGCUUAGUAGGAUCCAUCUAUUCUAGAAUAUUCUCAUAGUUUGCCUUUACAGUGAAAAUGAAGCCAUUUCUGAAAAUGAAUUGUUUUGGGCUGAACAGAGUCAGCAGAGCGGUGUGAUGGCAACACUCCGCCUUGCCUCCAGAAGGCAGACUGCAGCACUGUCACAGAGCAUGCUCUGAGAUGCAGGCAACCAUUAGAGUGGUUUCUUGUUGCAGAAGAAAAGCAGGAGACAAAAAGACGUAGUAACGGAGAUUUCAAGGAAAAACCCUGUGGUUAAGGCUUAUUCAGUGCUCUAAUCUCUUAACGUGUUUGGUUUUUUUCCCCAACAGACUUAGCAGCUGAAACAGAGGAUGAAGAGUUUUGUUAUUUUUACAGAUAAACUUCUCCACACCUUGAUCCUAUGUUGGACUGUCAGGUGUGCCCCUAGGGGCCUUUUGCUGGCUGCAGGGUUUCUGAAAGUGCUUUUUAAAUGUGGAUGGAGGGAGAGUGGAAGAAAGUGUUCUGCUUCCUCAGUCGUCUAUUGUGCAGCUUAUUGCCAUGUGCGUUCAGGAAUACGCUCUUCUCAUUGGAACACUGAAACCUUUUAAAAGCUCAACAUGUAGCAAUGAAAAUAUUUCUCUCACUAUUUACAGUGGAGCUUCUGCCCUAGAGACUGCAGCCACUCCUGUCAUUUACAAGAAGUUAUUCAACUACAGAGCACUUGAUUCUACACGUUCUUUUAAGCCGGAGUGGGAGAGCCUAGAUCAAGUUAUAUUCUACGCAUAGAAUUGAAGUACUGUGUUUCUGAAUCUGAUUGGAAAUGACUGACCUGAGAUGAUGGCAGAUCCUAGAACUGUGAAUCUGAAUCCAGUAAAGGGUGAGAUAAAUGGCUGCUCUACUUGAUGCUCGCUCUUAGCAGCUCCUGCAGCCCCACUCUCCAUCUGAGAGCUGAUUGCACUCAACAAAGUAUUUUUCCAUUCCUGAGUCAGAAGAAAAGAACAGGGGCUCUCAGGGAAGAAAAUUCCUAAGAUUUUCUUCAAAGAUAAAAUAUGGAGUUAGUCUAAGACUCCCACAUGUUGUGGGAUGGUGCUGUUCCAUAAACAGCCUGAUUUACAGCCAUGUCUGCUUUUCUCCAUUUAUAUUCCCACACACUGUGGUCUCCUUCAAACACAGGAUCCAUACCAGCCAUGUUUGUUCAAGGGUGCUUCCUCAGUCACAGAGGGACAGUGCUCCUGUUGUAGGAAAAGAAAGAGCUAUUAACAAUUGGACUGUGACCAGUGAAGCCUUUGAAUUUUCGGGAGAUAACAUAAACAAGAAAAUACGUUAUUUAACCCUCAAAAUGGGUCUUGGAGCAAUAGAACAUUUCCUGUAUGUGAACAAAGACACUGGCUGUUAGAAGAGAAAGGAGUACAGCAUGCACAGGGAGAUUUUGGCAGGAAAGAUUAAAAAAAUAACUAAGAGGGCUUGGUCCUGAGCCUGACAAAAGUUCAGAGGAGGAACAACAUUGCACUUACAGCAGCCUGAUAAAACCUGGCUUUGCUGGGCCUCAGGGAAGGAAUCAGAGGUGAAGGAUGCAUUGCAAAGAGGGGCACUGCACUUUGGAAAUGGAAUGGUUUCUAAAUGCCCUUCAGUUUCUUGUUGCUAUCCUGACAACAAAAACAAAUAGAACGUUUAAAAAAAAAAAAAAACAAACAUGUAAAGACUGCCUCUACGCAUCCAUUUGUUUGCAUCAGUUGCCUAUAAACCAGAGAUCACUGAUAAAUCAGAAUGUUCAAACUUUAAAGGGAACUGUGUCAGGCUGAGGGAUUACUGCCAGGCUCAGUGCUAGGCAUUGGAUCAAGAAGCCUCAUCUCCCUGGUGGCAGCUGGAGGUCAAGAGAGUUACUUGAUAAGACAGAUGUUCACAGCUUCAGGGGCUUGAAGCUCCCUAAGAUGACUGCAUCUUCUCAUCGCCUGUCAGGGAGUAUUCUGCAGGAGAACUCAUCCAGACAGUUAAAAUGGGAGCCUGCAGAUCUGACCUAACAAUAAUAUCCUUGGAUUAUUUUCAAUGAUUUAGGCAAAAUCAUUUGCCUAUCAUAAUGCUGGACAGAUUAGUUAACUUUGCUCCUAAAUCCUUUUCGUUGUUGUCUUGAUCUUCUUGGAAAAGAGUGAACUUGAGGUAGCAAGCAGGAAAUCAUAAGCCUCAGUAAACAGUGAGUCUGCAAAUGAAAACUGAAUAUUUAUAUAAUGCAAUAUAUAAAAUGCCUUAUGUAAUGUAAUAUCAUACUGAAUUAUGUAUUUUUAUAUUGAAUUUACUUUUAAUACUUGAUUGCAGUUAUAUAUUAAAAUAUCUACUCCGUAUUAAUUAUUUUCAAAUACAAAAUGUACUGAUGUAAUAAGCAACAGAAAAUUAUGCAACUAAAGACUCUGACACGAGAAAAGCUGUACCAAGCUUUUACAUUUUGCAGGCUUCUCCAUAAAUGAUCUUUUCAGAACUUAAUUGGUAAAAACUCAGUGAAAAGGAAUGAGAUACUUCAUUCAUUAGCAUUUUGCAGAACCCAGAUGGAAAGUUUAUUAUCCAGUAUUUAACAUAUCCUCAGUGAUAAUCAUGGCCUAAAACCAGCAGGCUUUGAAAUCGCUCAGAUUUCACCAUUGUGGUUUGAAUACAGCAGCUCUGAGAUGUUCUCCAUAGACGAGAAACCAAGGCUUGUGUCCUUGGAGCUUAGCUUCUGUCUUUACAGACAGAUCCUCUUUGCAUCCUUGCUAAACAUCCAGCUCCAAAAACCUCUGAACAAGUCCCCAUGAAUUCCACUGGAACUGAAGGGAAGCAUUUACUUCUAGCCUAGAAAUGAGUAAUAGAGGUGGGAUGCAAUCUGCAUCUUUUAUUUUCACAGGAUAGUAUAAAUAAGGAAUCAUUUUUCAUGAAGUGAAAGCUCAAGUGUAAUUUAAUUGUGUGGUUAUUGAAGUCAAAGGGGAGAACUGCAUAUAAAAGAAACUCAUGAUACUGAGAACAAAGUUUAUGUUUUUAUUGCCUAUAAACUGUGACUUCGCUACUUAAAAAUAUAUAUCUUUGUGUUUCAUUGUAUAAAUGUCCCUUUUAUUUUUAGUUCGUGUGAUGUUACAUGGAAUUUUAUUACGAAAUAUUUAAUAUAAUGUAUUUUUGAUGUCUGCUGGUAGGUUUUUGGCAAAAUCUGUUGAUCCCACAUCAAGAAACAAUUAGCCACAUAUCUACUACCUGAAUCUGUAGUCUAGUUUUUUCUAUUAUAUGUUUGGAAAGCUGCUAAAAAUGUGCUAGAAAAGUUGGGUAGAAUAACAGUUCAUCUUUAUGCAAAAUGGGCAUGUCUUUUUCUUAUCAUGUGAAGAUAACAAGUAAGAUUUGGCUCCAAAUGGAUUGUGUUUCACAUGAGUGGUUACUUUAAUUCUGAAGCCAUUCAUUCCCAACAAUGACCUUUAAAAAAUCUCCUGUUGUUCAAGAAUCCACUCGGAAAUAUGUUUGAAAGUUCCUGGCAGAUGUGACUGACUGGUAUGUAUCUACAGGAAACUGAAGGAAAAGAAGAUCCACCACAAUUUGACAUGGAAGCAGCCUACACCAUUUCAAAACAGGACUGAAGGUGUCAUUGGAAUCAUGCAGAUGUGUUCUCAUUUUCAGUUUUCCCACUCCUCUUUAUUCCUGAAGGGAAAAAUCAGAAAUCUCAAGUUACUCUGCAUACUUUGUGAGAAAGGGUGGUACACUGGGAGAAGAUCUCUCCCUGGAGCAGAAAACAGCCCUCUUUGAACAGAGGAGAUCAAGUGACCUCUGGGGGUCCCUUCCAGCCUCAGCCACUCUGUGAUUUUGUGAUUCUGUGAUUCAUGGAUUAAAACAGAGACACACCUUUUUGAAAAGGAAAACAAGGGAAGAAAAUGGUCAUUGGCCACACAAAAAGGAAGGAAAGAAAAUGUCAUAAGAGCCUGAGGAAGAAUGUCAAAGACUUCUCUAGGAGCUCUGAUUUGUGUGGACAGGAAGGUUUCAUGCCUUCAUUUGAACCUCUAAAAAUAUAAUUUUCAGAUGAACUGAUAAAUCCAGUGUACAUAAACCAGAGGAGCAGGAUUUGAAAAAAGCCCAAAUAUGGACUCAGAAUCUUUGAGUUAAUUCAGUGACUUUUUAAAAUUUAAUGCUGUACCUUUUCAGUGUUAGGUGCCUCUCUUCCCAAAAUAAAAACUCUGGAGUGGUCUUUAAUAAA